AGUGAACGCUGGCGGUAGGCCUAACACAUGCAAGUCGAACGGCAGCACAGUAAGAGCUUGCUCUUACGGGUGGCGAGUGGCGGACGGGUGAGGAAUACAUCGGAAUCUACUUUUUCGUGGGGGAUAACGUAGGGAAACUUACGCUAAUACCGCAUACGACCUACGGGUGAAAGCAGGGGAUCUUCGGACCUUGCGCGAUUGAAUGAGCCGAUGUCGGAUUAGCUAGUUGGCGGGGUAAAGGCCCACCAAGGCGACGAUCCGUAGCUGGUCUGAGAGGAUGAUCAGCCACACUGGAACUGAGACACGGUCCAGACUCCUACGGGAGGCAGCAGUGGGGAAUAUUGGACAAUGGGCGCAAGCCUGAUCCAGCCAUACCGCGUGGGUGAAGGAGGCCUUCGGGUUGUAAAGCCCCUUUGUUGGGAAAGAAAAGCAGCAGGUUAAUACCCCGCUGUUCUGACGGUACCCAAAGAAUAAGCACCGGCUAACUUCGUG
RNAcentral lists this ribosomal RNA (492 nucleotides) under uncultured bacterium. RNAcentral describes it as "partial 16S ribosomal RNA". It matches the Rfam family "Bacterial small subunit ribosomal RNA", at positions 29 to 507 of the family's 1533-position model. The record is from RNAcentral.